This 3377-nucleotide long non-coding RNA is filed under the name Phaseolus vulgaris (common bean). Its description in RNAcentral is "long non-coding RNA (PVUL_LNC000546)". Lineage: Eukaryota; Viridiplantae; Streptophyta; Magnoliopsida; Fabales; Fabaceae. The record is from RNAcentral.
UUCUUCUUGCUUCCUCUCCAACGAAGCAUUCUCUAACCUAGGUUUUCUUCACUUCAAAAAUGGAAAACCAAGAAAGGGCUCGAUCCUCAACCUUGCGUUCAAGGAGUCAAAGGUCUUGAUGAGGAGUUGGUCGUGCGACGUCAAUCCUAAGAGCUUGGUGGCGGCCUGGUCUCUGUGGCUAAACGUGUACACCUUCUUCAUGUACAACUUCAAAUCCAAAUUGUGAGCACUUGAGAAAUCGAAUUCUAAAAGAAGUUGUUCUUUCUCUGUUUUGAAAAUGUGUUGCCUAAAUUUCCUAUUUCUUGUUCCAAAAUUGCAACCUAAAUAUUGUGUCUUCCUGAAUCCCCAAUUUCUAGUUUCAAUUUGUGAAACCGAAAGCCCUAAUCUAAUUUGUUGUUCGAAAAUGAAAACCCAAAUUUCCAAUCUCGACUUCGAAAAUCAAAAGUGAAAAAUUCAAUCAAGAGCUCUGCAAAGGAAGUUGGAUUGAAGCCUCAUUCUCGUCUAGCGCUUCAGAUUGUGGUGUCGUUGACGAAUAUCCAUCGUCGCGGCUUGAACUAGUGGUGAGUCAGAGGAGACAUUUGGAGGAUUCAUUGAUUAAGUAUUGAGAAAGGUAUUGACAUUCUUUCUCUUUCAUUUGUGUUUGGAUAAUGUUCAAUAGGUUUAGGGUUUUUUACGGCAUACUUUAAAUGAAGGGGAAUUCUGAGUACUCAAAUCUCAGCUUGUGUUUUGGGUGGCUAAGAUGGGAUAUCUCAGUAUUUCAUGGUUGACUGUGUAUGAAAUAUUGUAUGAAGCUUUGAUGUGAUGAAAAUGGACAGUGGUGUAGCAUGCGUUUAGAAAUUAAGUGUAAUUGUAUUUAUAUGUGGAAGGGGUUAGUGAUGAGGGUUUAUAAGCAAAAACAGAUUAUAUAUGUAGAAACAUCAAAAGCUUUUUCUUUUUUACUUGAAUUAAGUUAUUUGGUUGAGUUGAAGAGAGAAUAGGAUACCUUAGAAUCUUAAGUAGUGGGAAAUUAUUGUGUAAAAAUAACUAAUAUAAAUUAUUAAUGUUAAUCUACCUGUGUGCAGUAUUCCUUCUUCCUAAAACCCUUAUACUAUUUUCCUUCUAAAAACACAUUCUUAGUUUUUCAUUGUCCAUUUUUAUUUAUUGUUGACUAUAUUCUUGUGAUGUAUUGCCAUAUUUUCACCAUUUUAAAAUAAGUCCAAGAAGAAUAGGGUAAUAUUGGGUCACUUCUCAGAUGUAUAUUUUAGCUUCUUUGUGGCUAGCAUCCCGAGUGUUUAGGGUUUAGGGUUUGGGUGGUCCACAUUCUCUUCAAUUUCAAGAUUAAAAUGACUUCCUCAUUUCAAUAUUGAACUUAGUAUUAUCAGGUCAGUACAAAAUAUUAAGGAAUAUAAGGAUGAAACUAGACAUGGAAAAAUAAAUUAUUUGAAACUAAAAUAUAUCAAAAGAAUUUGUACUAUGUAAUAUUAUCAACAACCCAUUUAUUAAUUUUCUUAUUAUCUUAUAAAAAAGUUAGCAUAUAAAUCAAGGAAGAAAAUUGGUAACACAAGAUUAUGAGAAAAUUUACUAUUAUGUUAAAUGAAACUACAAGAAUUUUGGCUAAGAGGUGAGUAGUUAAUCAACUUUUGUAUUGUGUAUUGUUUCACCUUCUUGACAAUUAAGAACUCUGAAUGAUUUGUGUUUUUAGUUUCAUGUGUUAUGUUGAACGGUUUUGGUUUUGAUGCUAAGUUAAAGUUUUGUGGAGCUCUAAGGAACCUGUUUUUCUUUAUGUUGCAUGUUAUGUGAGCUCUGAAUAUGUUUCCAAACACACACUUCAUCAAAUUAUUAGUGUUAUAACCUUCUCUCUUCAACCGUAUUGGCAAUGUAACAUGAGGAUUUCAAUUUGAUAGUUGAAUUUGAAUUUGGAGCAAUAUAGAGAGGCACAAUGACAACUAUGAUAAGCCAAGUUGAAAGAGUGUUAUGCUUCUCUGAAACUGAACAGUACGAGCUCAGUCCAUUGCAUAUCAACCACUUUGGUUUGAAGAAAAUCUGAAGAUAUCAGAGUGAUGUCAUUAGGUAACCAUAUUUCAACUUUUUUUAAUUCCUUUCACUAUCUUAAGAGUUUUGGUCCUCUCAAGUUAAAAUUUUUGGAUACCAGUGGAUUAGUUAAAUCUGCUGUCAUGGUUAAAAGGGUUUAGAGAAUUUGGAAAAUGAAUUGAGCACUUAUAAAUGCUGGCCUUUUGUGGGAGGCAUGCUCUCUCUCUAUCAUGGACUAGUGUGGUCUUAUUUGCUAUUUUGCUGACUUGGCUUAAGUGUUUUCCCUUUCACUAAGUUGUUUUGUGCACUCAUCUUCAUCCAUUAUGCUACCUUUUUUUUUGUUGAAGUAUGAAAUAAUAGGAGAAAAUUUUUAUUUGUUUUUUUUCCUAACUUGCCUUUAAGAGAAAACUACAUUGAAAAGAUCAAUGGAUAUGUAAAUUCUAAAAUGUAAAAUUCUCUAAAGCAACAAAACAUAAUGCAACAAUCAAGUAUCAUAGCAAUUCAGAACCAUUUUAAUGAUUCUUUAUUUACAUUUUCUGUAAUGAAUAAUAACUUGUGGUUUACGGUUGAAGACCACAACAUAAGAAUGUACAUCAAAUCAUAAAAAUUCCAUUUGAACUAGAGAAUUAGGUUCAUAAAAAAAAAUCUUGCACAACAAAUUGAGAAACAACCUAUCAUUAUUAAGUAGUUGACCUGAUUAGCCUUGGGAUAUUGGAACUCAAAUCGUUAUUAUAGGUUGACCUUUUUAGACCAACCUAUAAUAAAACCACAAAGGUGGCAUUUAAAAAAGAAUAUUCAAAUAUAUUUCUUCUUUCAAUUUGAGAUGUUCUUUGGAAGUAUUUCACACAUGAUUAAGAGGAAAUAGGAAAAGUUGUUAGAAUUAAUUUACUAUACAUUAGAAUUUUACAACUGAUUGAUAAGGAGAUUUUCAUUUUCUUUGUUUUGUGUAAUACAGUUAGGUACCUAUUCUAAUUGGUUAGUAUUGUUCUUCCUUUCCUUAUUUCUGAUAUACGAAGUGCCAUUUAACAACAAUUUGAACAAGUGUUGCUGCAACAAGAACCACCAAGGCAAAAGGAACCACUAAGGAAAAGGAGCCACCAAGGCAAAAGGAACUACCUAGACAACAAGAAGAUGACGAUAUUGAUUAUGCAUGCUAUUAGGAUUAUGUUUGUAGUUCUUUUAAAUUUUAGAUUAUAUUACAAGUUCACUAGACUUUUGAAUUAUGGAUCUUUAGUUAUGUUUCAAGUUUGUUUGAAUUUUUUUUAUAUUUCAAGUGGACUUGAGUUUAUCUUUCAUAUGAUGAGAACUUCAAUUAUAUUAUGUUUGAAUUCGAAAUUAAAUGUGUGUUUUAUUUUAUUUUAUGUUAG